CCAGCACCUGCGGUAAUUCCAGCUCCAAUAGCGUAUAUUAAAGUUGUUGCGGUUAAAAAGUUCGUAGUUGGAUUUCUGUGUGACGUUACCCUGCAGCUCUUGCUGAUGUGUGGUGGUGUCGUGCAUAUUUCCGGGGUUUCAGCAUUCGUGUUGUUAAUUCUGGAUAUGUUACUUUGAGGAAAUUAGAGUGUUCCAGGCAGGCUUACGCCGUGAAUAUAUUAGCAUGGAAUAACAAGAUAUGGCUUCGGUUUUAUUUUGUUGGUUUCUAGAGUCGUAGCAAUGUUAAAUAGGGACAGUCGGGGGCAUUCGUAUUUAACUGUCAGAGGUGAAAUUCUUGGAUUAGUUAAGGACGGACUACUGCGAAAGCAUUUGCCCAGUAUGUUCCCAUUGAUCAAGAACG
Molecule: ribosomal RNA, 400 nt
Filed under: uncultured eukaryote
Lineage: Eukaryota
Description: SSU rRNA
Rfam family: Eukaryotic small subunit ribosomal RNA
Source: RNAcentral